UGCCAGCAGCCGCGGUAAUACGAAAGGGGCUAGCGUUGUUCGGAAUUAUUGGGUUUAAAGGGUGCGUAGGCGGACUUUUAAGUCAGUGGUGAAAUCCCGGGGCUCAACUCCGGAACUGCCAUUGAUACUGAAAGUCUUGAGUACAGUUGAAGUAGGCGGAAUGUGUAAUGUAGCGGUGAAAUGCUUAGAUAUUACACAGAACACCGAUUGCGAAGGCAGCUUGCUAAACUAUGAUUGACGCUGAUGCACGAAAGCGUGGGGAGCAAACAGGAUUAGAUA
RNAcentral lists this ribosomal RNA (279 nucleotides) under uncultured bacterium. Its description in RNAcentral is "partial 16S ribosomal RNA". It matches the Rfam family "Bacterial small subunit ribosomal RNA", at positions 506 to 784 of the family's 1533-position model. The record is from RNAcentral.